Long non-coding RNA from Haplochromis burtoni (Burton's mouthbrooder), 501 nucleotides. RefSeq lists it as uncharacterized. NCBI's taxonomy places the organism in Eukaryota, Metazoa, Chordata, Actinopteri, Cichliformes, Cichlidae. The record is from RefSeq and is a predicted model, not a curated record. The transcript is spliced from 2 exons.
UGAACGACCAUCUUUGAAUAGAGGGCGGGGCUUACCACACCAACUGUCUCCCAGGGCUUUGGAGAGGGCGUGACCACCGAGGCGCCAUUUUAGCAGGCCAAACAAAGGGCUAGAGGAGUGCAAGCAUCAGUAAUGGUUCGUCCUUGCUGUGUUGUCAGUUGUUAGAUCGGACGAUCGGGAAGGGAAUAAGCUGGAAAACGGGCUCUCUUUUUACUCUUUCCCCACCUGGAAGCAUCACGAGGGAGCUCAUGUAUCGGGUGUUACCAAAAGAAGGCGUCUAGCCUGGAUAGCAGCUGUGAGACGGCUGAUAUCCAGUUCGCUACCAUCCCCAGAUAUCUAUUGGUGCUACAGACAUUUUCAUUCAGCAAACCAGCCUAUGAAAUGGAUGAAACACAUCCUGACUGGAUUCCAGCGCUACACAUGGGGCACUACGAAAUCCCUGCUUCAAACUACAUGCUACAUACCACCAUGCCAAUCAGAUUACUUCUUCCAUGUGAGGGU